UGGAAAAGGAGGGGUUUAUUAGAAGCAUCAAUAACAUCGAGGGGAAAGGAUUGAAGAUAGAGAAAUUAAUAACAGACCGUCAUCUUCAGAUCCAGAAGCAUGUCAGAGAAAACAUGCCGAAUACAACCCAUAACUAUGAUGUGUGGCAUGUUGCCAAAGGUUUUAAGAAGAAAUUAACCGCUCUAUCUAAGAUUAGGGAUUGUGAGUUCCUGCAGCCUUGGAUCAAGAGCUUGUGUAACCAUCUUUACUGGGUUCCAGCAUCAACUCCAAAU
Molecule: long non-coding RNA, 272 nt
Organism: Ostrea edulis (European flat oyster)
Lineage: Eukaryota; Metazoa; Mollusca; Bivalvia; Ostreida; Ostreidae
Exons: 2
Source: RefSeq, a predicted model, not a curated record